Molecule: ribosomal RNA, 945 nt
Filed under: uncultured bacterium
Lineage: Bacteria
Description: bacterial SSU rRNA
Rfam family: Bacterial small subunit ribosomal RNA
Source: RNAcentral
UCGAACGCAGUAGCAAUACUGAGUGGCGAACGGGUGAGUAGAAUGUGGGUAUCUGCCUUUUGGUUUGGAAUAACACGAGGAAACUUGUGCUAAUACCUCAUAAGCCUUUACGGGGAAAGUUUUAACGCCAAAAGAUGAGCCCAUACUUGAUUAGCUAGUUGGUGAGGUAAUAGCUCACCAAGGCAACGAUCAAUAGCUGUUCUUAGAGGAAGACCAGCCACAUUGGGACUGAGACACGGCCCAAACUCCUACGGGAGGCAGCAGUGGGGAAUCUUGCACAAUGGGGGAAACCCUGAUGCAGCGAUGCCGCGUGAGUGAAGAAGGCCUUUGGGUUGUAAAGCUCUUUCGUCGGGCAAGAAGAUGACUGUACCCGAAUAAGAAGGACCGGCUAACUUCGUGCCAGCAGCCGCGGUAACACGAAGGGACCUAGCGUAGUUCGGAAUUACUGGGCUUAAAGAGCACGUAGGUGGUUAAGAAAGUUGGUGGUGAAAGCCCAAGGCUUAACCUUGGAACUGCCACCAAAACUUUUUGACUAGAGUAUGAUAGAGGUGAGUGGAAUUUCUAGUGUAGAGGUGAAAUUCGUAGAUAUUAGAAAGAACACCAAUUGCGAAGGCAACUUUCUGGAUCAUUACUGAGACUGAGGAGCGAAAGCAUGGGUAGCGAAGAGGAUUAGAUACCCUCGUAGUCCAUGCUGUAAACGAUGUGUGCUAGACGUUGGAAAUUUAUUUUUCAGUGUCGCAGCAAAAUCAUUAAGCCCACCGCCUGGGGAGUACGACCGCAAGGUUAAAACUCAAAUGAAUUGACGGGGACACGCACAAGUAGUGGAGCAUGUGGUUUAAUUCGAAGAUACGCGCAGAACCUUACCAACACUUGACAUGUCUGUCGCGAGCCUAAGAGAUUAGGUUCUUCAUUCAGUUGGACAGAACACAGGUGCUGCAUGGCUGU